UACGGGGGGAGCAAGCGUUGUUCGGAUUUACUGGGCGUAAAGGGCGCGUAGGCGGUCGUGACAAGUCACUUGUGAAAUCUCCGGGCUUAACCCGGAGCGGCCAAGUGAUACUGUUGUGCUAGAGUGCAGAAGGGGCAACUGGAAUUCUCGGUGUAGCGGUGAAAUGCGUAGAUAUCGAGGGGAACACCUGCGGCGAAGGCGGGUUGCUGGGCUGACACUGACGCUGAGGCGCGAAAGCCAGGGGAGCGAACGGG
This 254-nucleotide ribosomal RNA is filed under the name uncultured bacterium. RNAcentral describes it as "partial 16S ribosomal RNA". It matches the Rfam family "Bacterial small subunit ribosomal RNA", at positions 524 to 776 of the family's 1533-position model. The record is from RNAcentral.